RNAcentral lists this transfer RNA (72 nucleotides) under Sphaerobolus stellatus SS14. RNAcentral's name for it is "tRNA-Ala (AGC) (tRNA-Ala-AGC-20-1)". It matches the Rfam family "tRNA". From Rfam's summary of the family: Transfer RNA (tRNA) molecules are approximately 80 nucleotides in length. Their secondary structure includes four short double-helical elements and three loops (D, anti-codon, and T loops). Lineage: Eukaryota; Fungi; Basidiomycota; Agaricomycetes; Geastrales; Sphaerobolaceae. The record is from RNAcentral.
AGGCCUGUGCUUUAGUGGUAUAACAUUCGCUUAGCAUGCGAAAGGUCCGGCGUUCAACUCGCCGCUUGUUCA